AUUGAACGCUGGCGGCAUGCUUUACACAUGCAAGUCGAACGGCAGCGAGAGAGAAGCUUGCUUCUCUUGUCGGCGAGUGGCGAACGGGUGAGUAAUACAUCGGAACGUACCCUGUAGUGGGGGAUAACUACUCGAAAGAGUGGCUAAUACCGCAUACAACCUGAGGGUAAAAGUGGGGGACCGCAAGGCCUCACGCUAUAGGAGCGGCCGAUGGAAGAUUAGCUAGUUGGUGAGGUAACGGCUUACCAAGGCGACGAUCUGUAGCGGGUCUGAGAAGAUGAUCCGCCACACUGGAACUGAGACACGGUCCAGACUCCUACGGGAGGCAGCAGUGGGGAAUUUUGGACAAUGGGCGCAAGCCUGAUCCAGCCAUGCCGCGUGAGUGAAGAAGGCCUGGUGUAAGAUCUUCGUCCGGGAACGGAAAUACG
This 428-nucleotide ribosomal RNA is filed under the name uncultured bacterium. RNAcentral's name for it is "bacterial SSU rRNA". It matches the Rfam family "Bacterial small subunit ribosomal RNA", at positions 30 to 455 of the family's 1533-position model. The record is from RNAcentral.